RNAcentral lists this ribosomal RNA (794 nucleotides) under Anguilla marmorata (giant mottled eel). RNAcentral describes it as "partial 16S ribosomal RNA". It matches the Rfam family "Bacterial large subunit ribosomal RNA", at positions 612 to 1898 of the family's 2925-position model. The record is from RNAcentral. Lineage: Eukaryota; Metazoa; Chordata; Actinopteri; Anguilliformes; Anguillidae.
AUCAUGGUUUAGCAAGCAAAAAUCAAGCAAAGAGAACUUUAGUUUGAAACCCCGAAACUAGACGAGCUACUCCGGGGCAGCCUAAUCAGGGCCAACCCGUCUCUGUGGCAAAAGAGUGGGAAGACCCCCGAGUAGAGGUGACAAGCCUACCGAGCCUAGUUAUAGCUGGUUGCUUAAGAAAUGAAUGUUAGUUCAGCCUUAUGUAAUUCUAUAACCGAAACAAUUAUUAACCAAAAGAACAAAAGCAAUACAUAAGAGUUAGUCAAAGGGGGUACAGCCCCUUUGAAACAGAACACAACCUUAUUCAGGAGGACAAGGAUCAUAUCAUAAAAGGACAAAAUUACCUCAGUGGGCCCAAAAGCAGCCACCUGUAAAGAAAGCGUUAAAGCUCCGGUAAAUGCAGACCAAUAAUAAAGACAACACACUCCCUACCCCCUAAAAAUAUUAAGCUAUCCUAUGCACACAUAGGAGAAACAAUGCUAAAAUCAGUAAUAAGAGGACCCAAGUCCUCUCCUAGCACAUGUGUAAGUCAGAACGGACCAACCACUGACAAUCAACGGACCCACAAGAGAGAAAAAGAACAAACUACAAAAAACAAGAAAAAACUAUUUAACACCCCAAACCGUUAACCCAACACAGGAGUGCCUCAAGGAAAGACUAAAAGGAGAAGAAGGAACUCGGCAAACACAAACCCCGCCUGUUUACCAAAAACAUCGCCUCUUGCUAACAAAGGAAGUACUAGAGGUCCCGCCUGCCCUGUGACCACAAAGUUUAACGGCCGCGGUAUCCUGACC